RNAcentral lists this non-coding RNA (118 nucleotides) under Oxobacter pfennigii. RNAcentral describes it as "MoCo sequence". It matches the Rfam family "Molybdenum/Tungsten riboswitch aptamer (Moco RNA motif)". The record is from Rfam by way of RNAcentral. Lineage: Bacteria; Bacillati; Bacillota; Clostridia; Eubacteriales; Clostridiaceae.
AUAGAAUAUGAGCUCCGAGCUUAUGUUCCUAAGGUUUAAACUAUGGAAUGUCAGCCGAUAGGGUGGGGCCGGAAACAGCCCCGCCUCCCCAUUGGAAAGGAGUAAUACCAGUUUGGUU